Molecule: ribosomal RNA, 654 nt
Filed under: Triticum aestivum (bread wheat)
Lineage: Eukaryota; Viridiplantae; Streptophyta; Magnoliopsida; Poales; Poaceae
Description: partial small subunit ribosomal RNA
Source: RNAcentral
AUGAAUGGAGGUAGAAGAAGGAGGAGCACAGAAGAAAACAGAGAACGACACACUGGAUUUCACCCGGCCGCACACGGCCCGUUACACUAUUCCAGAGCACCAACUCUCAUACGGGAUACAUGGCCAAGUUAUAGUCUAGCCAGCUCACACAACGCACUCAGCAAACUACCCACGCGCACGCGCUCACCCGGCGACCCGGCCGCUCGUGCAUGGGGCCAUGCCGUUCCUCCACAAGACCCAACCUCCACGCUUCGCGCUGUGCUGCAUGCACGUCCUUCAUGCCCGGCCUCACGCGCUCAUGACGCGCACACCGUGGCCGCUUCCAAUGCAUCACUAACCACCUAUCUAGCUAGCUUGACGUGGCUGACCACCACGCACGCACACACGCGCACGUCACACACGCACACUACAAACCUGACACGGCCACACACCGCCAUACACACACAUACGCCACACUUCCACGGCGUCCCGCUCGUCCCGCGCGCAUCCGACGUGCCCGACGAGCCCGACACCACCAGUGCGUCCCGCCCGUCACGCACGCAUCCGACGCGCCCGACGAGCCCGGCCACACUAUGCGACGUGGCUUAUUCCAACACACACACCCUAAGCCACGACCUAGAGGUGUCCGUCGUCGUCGACGUUGGCACCAGCUAA